RNAcentral lists this ribosomal RNA (465 nucleotides) under Vreelandella stevensii. RNAcentral's name for it is "partial 16S ribosomal RNA". It matches the Rfam family "Bacterial small subunit ribosomal RNA", at positions 338 to 795 of the family's 1533-position model. Lineage: Bacteria; Pseudomonadati; Pseudomonadota; Gammaproteobacteria; Oceanospirillales; Halomonadaceae. The record is from RNAcentral.
CCUACGGGUGGCAGCAGUGGGGAAUAUUGGACAAUGGGGACAACCCUGAUCCAGCCAUGCCGCGUGUGUGAAGAAGGCCCUCGGGUUGUAAAGCACUUUCAGUGAGGAAGAACGCCUGGUGGUUAAUACCCAUCAGGAAAGACAUCACUCACAGAAGAAGCACCGGCUAACUCCGUGCCAGCAGCCGCGGUAAUACGGAGGGUGCGAGCAUUAAUCGGAAUUACUGGGCGUAAAGCGCGCGUAGGUGGCUUGAUAAGCCGGUUGUGAAAGCCCCGGGCUCAACCUGGGAACGGCAUCCGGAACUGUCAAGCUAGAGUGCAGGAGAGGAAGGUAGAAUUCCCGGUGUAGCGGUGAAAUGCGUAGAGAUCGGGAGGAAUACCAGUGGCGAAGGCGGCCUUCUGGACUGACACUGACACUGAGGUGCGAAAGCGUGGGUAGCAAACAGGAUUAGAUACCCGUGUAGUC